Molecule: long non-coding RNA, 1084 nt
Organism: Orbicella faveolata
Lineage: Eukaryota; Metazoa; Cnidaria; Anthozoa; Scleractinia; Merulinidae
Source: RefSeq, a predicted model, not a curated record
UUUUGCAUUGGACCUCACACAUUGAAAGCUUUCACAUGAUUUAGAGCAAAACAAAAAUAUUUUCUUGGUUCUGUUUUGGUUAUUAAACUGGCGAAGAUAUUUAGAGUUAAAGUGUACUUUUCUCAAUAAGGCAGAAUUUCAAAACUUGCUUGACCUAAGUAAAUAUACGCGACAUGUUUGGGGUGUUGUUGUAUAGUAUCGAGCGCGCUUCAGUCCACUCUUAUAGGUUUUCGUCUUAUGCAAAUAUCACACCUUCUGAACAGUUUAUUUAUUCAUGAUCAUUAUUCUGCGCUGCUUUUAAAUUUGUGAGCUCGCUACAAGCCCGCUUUUUUGCUGUUUCAUCCUCUCGCCCCUCCCUUGUGGAAAAAGCUCGGAACUUGUGCAGUUAGCCACCCCUUCCCAUCCCUGUGAAAGUAGGCGGGACAGUCUAUGUAACGCAGUGUUUUCUUUGCUGUGAUUAUCAGGUUGUGGUUGACGCUUUUAACGGACACUUUGCCUCUGUUGGAACAUAAAGAGGUCAUCUUUUCCAGCUCACAGACAUAUGAAUUAAUGCACUGUUUAGAGGAAAUAAGGCUCUCAUUCAGAACCAAGGAGUACCUGGAACAUCCUGACCGGGCGCCCGCCGAGGAGCCUUUAUUGAGGACCUUGAGUCAGGGCCCUGGACUGAAGUCAGCUAAAAGCACAAAGGCACAACAAGACGAAGAGAGAGACAAGAUCGACCUGAUCCGCUUGGCACUGGCGCGCAAUCUGUCAAGGACUAUUUUAUGAGGCUGGUGUUUAAGCAAGGACUGAAGAACUCAUAAAAAUAUCAACUCAAAGAUGAAUCUCUGCGUUUAGAAACGCAAUGGCGAAGUGAAUUUUUUGCCACUUCUAUCGAAAUCUGGCCACCUGGCUUGCGAGGCAUUCCGGGGAAACUCAGCGGGUCAACCCGAAACUGACAUCGCUUUGAGCAAGAGGAGUUUUUCCAAUCUCAGUUGAUAGUGAUAUAAAAAUAGUCAGUGGAAUGACGCUUGUGUAUAUUUUGUACGUAGGUAUGUAUUGCUUAACAAUAAACAACAUGCAUUUCUGAAAUUUUCUACCCACU